Molecule: long non-coding RNA, 349 nt
Organism: Amblyraja radiata (thorny skate)
Lineage: Eukaryota; Metazoa; Chordata; Chondrichthyes; Rajiformes; Rajidae
Exons: 2
Source: RefSeq, a predicted model, not a curated record
CGACAGCCCGGUUAAACCCCGCCCCCGGGCGCUGAGUGACAGGCGGCCGCCCCGGGAGCCGGUCACGUGAUGGAGUCGCUGAUGGACGUGGAGGUGUCUUCGUGCCGCCACUCCCGCUUCCUGCGCCCACUGCGGGCCCACUACACUCAGGUCCCUGCCUGUGGUUUGUUGGAGGAUGGAACCUGUCAUUAAACCCACUAAUGGAGUAAUCUCAGCUUUUGAUCUUUCAUCUCUAAUCACACCAAUUGUCUGAAUUCCUGUCAACUGCACCUGCCCCUCCAGAGUGGAUUCUGUCUCCUGUGUCACCAUUCCUUCUUUUUUUCACUCUUAUAAAUAUUCACUGCUCAAA